UGAAAUACUGGAACAGGAAGGCAGUCAAUGCGGAACAAAAAUCAAGAUAAGAGAGAAAUCCUGGAGUAAACCCAAACCAGGAAUAUUUCAGUUAAUAAAGAAGAAAUGACAGAAUUAGAAGAUCACCAUCAGCAACACUAACAUCACGAGAGACCACCAGACAUACUGUGCCUCCGAGUAAAAUUACACACCAUCAGCCAUGAAGUACAUGAGCUGAGACUGCGCCAUCAACACUACAUGUAAUCACCAAUUUACAGGAAAUUUAGAGGAAUGGAAUGCCAAUCAACACAGUCCUUCAGCUAUACUUGAGUGCACUGUAAUGGUAACCUCACUAACGUAGCGAUCACCUUGUGUCCUUAACUUUCUGAUACACAAAUUCUUGAAUA
Macaca mulatta (Rhesus monkey) is the source of this 386-nucleotide non-coding RNA. The record is from RefSeq and is a predicted model, not a curated record. Lineage: Eukaryota; Metazoa; Chordata; Mammalia; Primates; Cercopithecidae.